RNAcentral lists this long non-coding RNA (889 nucleotides) under Musa acuminata (dwarf banana). Its description in RNAcentral is "long non-coding RNA (MACU_LNC006516)". The record is from RNAcentral. Lineage: Eukaryota; Viridiplantae; Streptophyta; Magnoliopsida; Zingiberales; Musaceae.
GUUAUUAGUAUUAUUGUGUUUUUUUACUAUUUUUUUACAAGUUCUCACAUAUUUUUUGAAUGCUUAUGAAUAUUUACAUGUGUUGUUGAGUUCAUAACAAAUCCAUGCACACUUGAUACCAUCUGUUGUCGAUUGUAGGUUGUCUUCACUGGUGGGCGUACACAACCUGGUACAAUAAAGCCCGAUGAAGGAGAGAGGCAUCCUUAUUCAGUUCUAGAUUGCCAGCCUAUACGUGAAGCUAUCUUACCUUCUGUACUCUACAUACAGAAGAUCUUGCGGCGUAAACCCUUUUUGAUUAAGAACCUUGAAAAUGUUAUGCGAAAGUUCCUUCAGUCCUUGGAGCUCUUUGAGGAGAAUGAAAGAAAGAAGCUUGCUAUAUUCACAGCCCUUACAUUCUCUCAGAAACUAUCAGGGCUUCCGCCUGAGACCGUCUUUCAGUCAUUACUUAAGGACAAUCUUGUGGCUAAGGGGAUAGUUCUUCCAUUUAUUACUGAGUUCUUCAAGGAAUACUUGGUCGAUAACAGUUUAGAUGAUCUUAUAUCACUUCUGAAGCGAGGUAAAAUGGAGGACAAUCUCCUUGAUUUUUUCCCUUCGGCAAGACGCUCUGCUGAAUGUUUCUCUGAGCAUUUCAAGUAAGUACAUCUUCUGAAUUAUUAUGAAGUUUAUUAUACCCCUAGUCCAUCUGCAAACUAAUCGCUUACCCAUUUCUUCAUUUGGUGAUUUUCCAGCAAAGAAGGAUUGGUAGCUCUUGUCGAGUACCAUGAAAAGAAAAUAUUUGAGGUGAAGCUGAAGGUAAUGAAAUCAGCUCUGACGACUCAGAUUGCAGAAGAAACUGAUGUAUCUGAAGUUAUAGAGACUGCAAAGCAACGAGUGAAAGAUGCUAACUUGC